This is a non-coding RNA of Pelobates cultripes (western spadefoot toad), 354 nucleotides long. The record is from the annotation of a GenBank genome assembly. Lineage: Eukaryota; Metazoa; Chordata; Amphibia; Anura; Pelobatidae.
CCCAAAUUUAUAAAGAUUUGCUUACUGGAUUUGUUGUAAGAUUAAAUCAUGCCUCCUCCUCUCUCUCUCUCCCAUGUGCUGCUCUGUAGGCUGGGAGGAAGUGAAGAGUAAUCACAAUCUCCCAACACAGCGGCACCUGUGGCUGCAUGGGGAACAGCUGUAUUUGCCGCCCCCCCAUGUGACAUCACAAUGCCCCACCUAUAUGAGCUGCCAUACGAACUAACGCCAGUGCUGCCACAGUGUAUGUUUACAUUAAAAAGCCUGCAGGGACUGGCUAUAGACACCAGAACCACUUCAUUAAGCUGCACUCGUUCUGGGGACUAUAGUGUCCCUUUAAUGUGAGGUAAAUUAUAG